UAGGGAAUCUUCGGCAAUGGACGAAAGUCUGACCGAGCAACGCCGCGUGAGUGAAGAAGGUUUUCGGAUCGUAAAACUCUGUUGUUAGAGAAGAACAAGGACGUUAGUAACUGAACGUCCCCUGACGGUAUCUAACCAGAAAGCCACGGCUAACUACGUGCCAGCAGCCGCGGUAAUACGUAGGUGGCAAGCGUUGUCCGGAUUUUUUGGGCGUAAAGCGAGCGCAGGCGGUUUCUUAAGUCUGAUGUGAAAGCCCCCGGCUCAACCGGGGAAGGUCAUUGGAAACUGGGAGACUUGAGUGCAGAAGAGGAGAGUGGAAUUCCAUGUGUAGCGGUAAAAUGCGUAGAUAUAUGGAGGAACACCAGUGGCGAAGGCGGCUCUCUGGUCUGUAACUGACGCUGAGGCUCGAAAGCGUGGGGAGCAAACAGG
Molecule: ribosomal RNA, 429 nt
Filed under: Gemmatimonadota bacterium
Lineage: Bacteria; Pseudomonadati; Gemmatimonadota
Description: Gemmatimonadetes bacterium partial 16S ribosomal RNA
Rfam family: Bacterial small subunit ribosomal RNA
Source: RNAcentral